GCACCGCUAGCUCAACUGGCAGAGCAGCAGACUCUUAAUCUGCGGGUUCGGGGUUCAAGUCCCCGGCGGUGUA
Molecule: transfer RNA, 73 nt
Filed under: Actinomycetes bacterium
Lineage: Bacteria; Bacillati; Actinomycetota; Actinomycetes
Description: tRNA-Lys
Rfam family: tRNA
About the family: Transfer RNA (tRNA) molecules are approximately 80 nucleotides in length. Their secondary structure includes four short double-helical elements and three loops (D, anti-codon, and T loops).
Source: RNAcentral